AUUUAGUGACUGAAAGCAAGUAAUGGUCUCUUAAACCAACCAAUGGUACCCGCA
RNAcentral lists this transfer RNA (54 nucleotides) under Cacopsylla citrisuga. RNAcentral describes it as "tRNA-Lys". The record is from RNAcentral. Lineage: Eukaryota; Metazoa; Arthropoda; Insecta; Hemiptera; Psyllidae.